This 253-nucleotide ribosomal RNA is filed under the name uncultured bacterium. Its description in RNAcentral is "partial 16S ribosomal RNA". It matches the Rfam family "Bacterial small subunit ribosomal RNA", at positions 524 to 776 of the family's 1533-position model. The record is from RNAcentral.
UACGUAGGCAGCAAGCGUUGUUCGGAGUUACUGGGCGUGAAGGGUGUGUAGGCGGUUUUUUAAGUUUGGUGUGAAAUCUCCCGGCUCAACUGGGAGGGUGCGCCGAAUACUGAAAGACUAGAGUGCGGGAGAGGAAAGUGGAAUUCCUGGUGUAGCGGUGAAAUGCGUAGAUAUCAGGAGGAACACCGGUGGUGUAGACGGCUUUCUGGACCGUAACUGACGCUGAGACACGAAAGCGUGGGUAGCAAACAGG